AUUAGCUAGUUGGUAAGGUAAUGGCUUACCAAGGCGACGAUCAGUAGCCGGCCUGAGAGGGUGAACGGCCACACUGGAACUGAGACACGGUCCAGACUCCUACGGGAGGCAGCAGUGGGGAAUAUUGCACAAUGGAGGAAACUCUGAUGCAGCGACGCCGCGUGAGUGAAGAAGGUCUUCGGAUCGUAAAACUCUGUCCUUGGUGAAGAUAAUGACGGUAGCCAAGGAGGAAGCCCCGGCUAACUACGUGCCAGCAGCCGCGGUAAUACGUAGGGGGCGAGCGUUGUCCGGAUUUACUGGGCGUAAAGGGUGAGUAGGCGGUUGUAUAUGUCAGGUGUAAAAGGCUAUGGCUUAACCAUGGUUAGCACUUGAAACUGUACAACUUGAGUGCAGGAGAGGUAAGUGGAAUUCCUAGUGUAGCGGUGAAAUGCGUAGAUAUUAGGAGGAACACCAGUGGCGAAGGCGACUUACUGGACUGUAACUGACGCUGAGUCACGAAAGCGUGGGUAGCAAACAGGAUUAGAUACCCUGGUAGUCCACGCUGUAAACGAUGAGUGCUAGGUGUUGGCCAGCGAUGGUCAGUGCCGCAGUUAACACAAUA
RNAcentral lists this ribosomal RNA (601 nucleotides) under uncultured bacterium. RNAcentral's name for it is "bacterial SSU rRNA". It matches the Rfam family "Bacterial small subunit ribosomal RNA", at positions 240 to 862 of the family's 1533-position model. The record is from RNAcentral.